This 608-nucleotide ribosomal RNA is filed under the name Trichoderma sp. KRCF639. RNAcentral's name for it is "eukaryotic LSU rRNA". The stretch from base 239 to 392 matches the Rfam family "5.8S ribosomal RNA". The record is from RNAcentral. Lineage: Eukaryota; Fungi; Ascomycota; Sordariomycetes; Hypocreales; Hypocreaceae.
CCAAGUCUCCGUUGGUGAACCAGCGGAGGGAUCAUUACCGAGUUUACAACUCCCAAACCCAAUGUGAACGUUACCAAACUGUUGCCUCGGCGGGAUCUCUGCCCCGGGUGCGUCGCAGCCCCGGACCAAGGCGCCCGCCGGAGGACCAACCAAAACUCUUAUUGUAUACCCCCUCGCGGGUUUUUUUAUAAUCUGAGCCUUCUCGGCGCCCCUCGUGGGCGUUUCGAAAAUGAAUCAAAACUUUCAACAACGGAUCUCUUGGUUCUGGCAUCGAUGAAGAACGCAGCGAAAUGCGAUAAGUAAUGUGAAUUGCAGAAUUCAGUGAAUCAUCGAAUCUUUGAACGCACAUUGCGCCCGCCAGUAUUCUGGCGGGCAUGCCUGUCCGAGCGUCAUUUCAACCCUCGAACCCCUCCGGGGGGUCGGCGUUGGGGAUCGGCCCUCCCUCUGCGGGGGCCGUCUCCGAAAUACAGUGGCGGUCUCGCCGCAGCCUCUCCUGCGCAGUAGUUUGCACACUCGCACCGGGAGCGCGGCGCGUCCACAGCCGUUAAACACCCAACUUUCUGAAAUGUUGACCUCGGAUCAGGUAGGAAUACCCGCUGAAUUAAGCU